RNAcentral lists this ribosomal RNA (1277 nucleotides) under metagenome. Its description in RNAcentral is "bacterial LSU rRNA". It matches the Rfam family "Bacterial large subunit ribosomal RNA", at positions 1654 to 2925 of the family's 2925-position model. The record is from RNAcentral.
CCGACACUGGUGCGCGAGAUGAGUAUUCUAAGGCGCUUGAGAGAACUCAGGAGAAGGAACUCGGCAAAUUGACACCGUAACUUCGGAAGAAGGUGUGCCCUAUUAGUGUGAAGUGAACAACGGAGCAUGAAUGGGUUGCAAAAAAUCGGUGGCUGCGACUGUUUAUUAAAAACACAGCACUCUGCAAACACGAAAGUGGACGUAUAGGGUGUGACGCCUGCCCGGUGCUGGAAGAUUAAAUGAUGGGGUGCAAGCUCUUGAUUGAAGUCCCAGUAAACGGCGGCCGUAACGAUAACGGUCCUAAGGUAGCGAAAUUCCUUGUCGGGUAAGUUCCGACCUGCACGAAUGGCGUAACGAUGGCCACACUGUCUCCUCCUGAGACUCAGCGAAGUUGAAAUGUUUGUGAUGAUGCAAUCUCCCCGCGGAAAGACGGAAAGACCCCAUGAACCUUUACUGUAGCUUUGUAUUGGACUUUGAACAGAUCUGUGUAGGAUAGGUGGGAGGCUUUGAAGCAGGGUCGCUAGAUCUUGUGGAGCCAACGUUGAAAUACCACCCUGGUGUGUUUGAGGUUCUAACCUAGGUCCAUUAUCUGGAUCGGGGACAGUGCAUGGUAGGCAGUUGGACUGGGGCGGUCUCCUCCCAAAGCGUAGCGGAGGAGUUCGAAGGUACGCUAGUUACGGUCGGACAUCGUGACGAUAGUGCAAUGGCAUAAGCGUGCUUAACUGCGAGACUGACAAGUCGAGCAGAUGCGAAAGCAGGACAUAGUGAUCCGGUGGUUCUGUAUGGAAGGGCCAUCGCUCAACGGAUAAAAGGUACUCUGGGGAUAACAGGCUGAUACCGCCCAAGAGUUCAUAUCGACGGCGGUGUUUGGCACCUCGAUGUCGGCUCAUCUCAUCCUGGGGCUGUAGCCGGUCCCAAGGGUAUGGCUGUUCGCCAUUUAAAGAGGUACGUGAGCUGGGUUUAAAACGUCGUGAGACAGUUUGGUCCCUAUCUUCCGUGGGCGCUGCAGAUUUGAGGAAGCCUGCUCCUAGUACGAGAGGACCGGAGUGGACACACCACUGGUGUAUCGGUUGUCACGCCAGUGGCAUUGCCGAGUAGCUAAGUGUGGAAGAGAUAACCGCUGAAAGCAUCUAAGCGGGAAACUCGUUUCAAGAUGAGAUCUGCCGGGGCCUUGAGCCCCCUGAAGAGUCGUUCAAGACCAGGACGUUGAUAGGUCAGGUGUGGAAGCGCAGUAAUGCGUUAAGCUAACUGAUACUAAUUGCUCGUGCGGCUUGACC